AAAAACUAGAUCAGUAUUUGGUGUAUGUGAAGAAAGGUGACUCAGGGGAUGUUUGGGAUUUUGGUGCAUCAAAGGAGAUCCAAGACUGCAAAAUUUAAGAAAUGUCGAUAGAAUGGAGAGAAUUUUUGGUAAAUGUGAUGGAUGAUUGUACAGAAAUAUGGAAAGAUUCAGACCUGUCGAGAAGGGUGUUAGGGAUCGAUUUGUCAACACUGUUUUGGGAGGUUUCAUGGAAAGGUAAUCGUUAUCUUGUUGUUGGAUUCACAAGGAUUUAUUAUUAGGUAAAAAUUGAAAGAGGAGGUG
Molecule: long non-coding RNA, 300 nt
Filed under: Gossypium barbadense (sea-island cotton)
Lineage: Eukaryota; Viridiplantae; Streptophyta; Magnoliopsida; Malvales; Malvaceae
Description: long non-coding RNA (GBAR_LNC009800)
Source: RNAcentral